RNAcentral lists this ribosomal RNA (111 nucleotides) under uncultured bacterium. RNAcentral's name for it is "partial 16S ribosomal RNA". It matches the Rfam family "Bacterial small subunit ribosomal RNA", at positions 1365 to 1482 of the family's 1533-position model. The record is from RNAcentral.
AAUACGUUCCCGGACCUUGCACACACCGCCCCGUCAAGCCAUGGAAGCUGGGUGUACCUAAAGUCGGUAACCGCAAGGAGCCGCCUAGGGUAAAAACUAGUGACUGGGGCU